CUUUCCACGUUAAAGGCUCCCAUACCGUAGGUGCCCAAGGCAGGCUGAGCCCUGGGAGCGGAAACCCGGGCACCUCCUUCCUUUCCCACCCGCAGAGGCAGGCGCCUGUGCGCCCCUGCACGCCCCCGCACGCCUUCUCUGCGACUGUGCACUCUGAGACUCCUCUCCGCAGUCGGUGAGAAGGGCAAGCAAGCUAAACGUGUUUGUUGGGGGAGCAUUCAGUGUCAAAGCGAGCAAACAGCCUCCUGCGGGGAAGACAGGCGACUUCUGCAACCAACACGCGGAGCUCUACUUAAGCUGACUCCUGCGAAUAAGCGAGAGGGAGUUUCAGUUGGAAAACCACUGAGCUGGGUUUUCCAAAAGAUAGUACUAAUCACCGGUUAUCUGAUACCCUUGAAAUAAUAACAUCAAGAACCAAGAAAUAAAAUGUGGCGACUAGGAAGUGAUGCGUCUUGAGUAUUUAUGACUUCUGUUUUUAAUGUAAUUUAUUUGUAAAGCUAUAUGAUUUAUUUAACUUUCAAUAAUGGCUGUGUUUAACAGCUGAAUUUUUUUUUUUUUUUUUUUUUUUUUUUGAGAUGGAGUCUCGCUCUGUCACCCAGGCUGGAGUGCAGGGGCGCGAUCUCAGCUUACUCCAAGCUCCACCUCCAGGGUUCACUCCAUUCUCCUGCCUCAGCCUCCUGAGUAGCUGGGACUACAGGCACCCGCCACCACACCCAGCUAAUUUUUUGUAUUUUUCGUAGAGAUGGGUUUUCGCCGUGUUAGCCAGGAUGAUCUCGAUCUCCUGACCUCGUGAUCCGCCCGCCUCAGCCUCCCAAAGUGCUGGGAUUAUAGGCGUGAGCCACCAUGCCCAGCCUAACACCUGAAAGUUUAACAAUCAGCCCUGAAGCACUGACACCAGCGUGUUCCAGCCCACCAUGAAUGACCUAGAAUGCAAGCUUCUUAACAUCAGGCGGUUGUGCUUGUUGCCUUUACUAUAAAAUCGCUGCUGCCUGCAGCAGUGGCUAGCGUUGUGUAAUUAUUGAUAAAUAUACACUGAAUGAGUGCAUAAAUGAGCAAACUAAAGAGAAUAAGGACAUAAAUAGGGAGUUCAUUAACAAGAAUGUAUUGACUGCCUACCUCAUUCCAGGUAACAUUUUAGAUGCUGAAAAUAUGUGGCAGUGAACAAUGAGGAAUGGGAGGAAAUUCUUCAUGGGAGGGAGGGGAACUCCUCAUGAAGGAUACAUUCUGGUGGAAGGAGAUAGAGAAAUAUAAAAAGUAAACUAUGUGGUGAAAUUGAAGACAAGUAAAGCCAGAAACAUCUUAGGGUUGAGGUUACAAUUUGAAAGAGUGGUAAGGGAAGUCCUCACUGAAAAGAUGACAUUUGAAGAUUGACAUUGGCCUGAAGGAGGUAACAGUGUGGACUGAGAGAAGGCCAUGGUAGGCCAGGAAACAGCAACAGCACAUGUAAAAGCCGUCAGGCAGAAGAUUAUCUAGCAGGCUCUAAGAACCCCAAGGAGACAAAGAUUUUGAGCAUAA
Molecule: long non-coding RNA, 1515 nt
Filed under: Homo sapiens (human)
Lineage: Eukaryota; Metazoa; Chordata; Mammalia; Primates; Hominidae
Description: non-protein coding lnc-MTMR10-3:1
Source: RNAcentral